AUCCUUAAAUAUCCCUGUCUAACAAGACUUGGACAGGGACUUGUUGCUGGCAGGAGUCAGAGGCACAAAGCAGAGAUCCUACUGAGACAAAAUGUGGUGGAGGUUCUCAACAUUUUCAAGGCAGGUGAAGAAGCACCCUGGACUGGUGCCAAUGCUUUGUUUCACAGGACUGGGAGUUAUUAAUGUUACUGUCUACUUGGUGAAGAACACUCUGUUCAACCGAGAAUUAAGUUGGGUAAAGAAGGAAGAGCCAGAACCAUGGUAUAAAUGAGGUCCAGACCUCUGAAGGAGAGGUGAAGACCUUAAAGUGUUUUUAUAAUGAAAACAGAUUUCCUGGAUCUGAAAUUGUGUUUUGCAAGGUGGACUCCUGCUGCUUCUGCAUAGGAUAUUUUUUUUGUCACUGACUGGGCACCUGUACUAUAUAAAAUCAUCGCAAUCUCCUCUUUCUUUCUUUGGUAAAUUCGUAUAAUUGUGGACAAAC
Molecule: long non-coding RNA, 481 nt
Organism: Rana temporaria (common frog)
Lineage: Eukaryota; Metazoa; Chordata; Amphibia; Anura; Ranidae
Exons: 4
Source: RefSeq, a predicted model, not a curated record